This 712-nucleotide ribosomal RNA is filed under the name uncultured Bacilli bacterium. RNAcentral's name for it is "bacterial SSU rRNA". It matches the Rfam family "Bacterial small subunit ribosomal RNA", at positions 52 to 724 of the family's 1533-position model. The record is from RNAcentral. Lineage: Bacteria; Bacillati; Bacillota; Bacilli.
UACAUGCAAGUCGAGCGAGCUUGCCUAGAUGAAUUUGGUGCUUGCACCAGAUGAAACUAGAUACAAGCGAGCGGCGGACGGGUGAGUAACACGUGGGUAACCUGCCCAAGAGACUGGGAUAACACCUGGAAACAGAUGCUAAUACCGGAUAACAACACUAGACGCAUGUCUAGAGUUUAAAAGAUGGUUCUGCUAUCACUCUUGGAUGGACCUGCGGUGCAUUAGCUAGUUGGUAAGGUAACGGCUUACCAAGGCAAUGAUGCAUAGCCGAGUUGAGAGACUGAUCGGCCACAUUGGGACUGAGACACGGCCCAAACUCCUACGGGAGGCAGCAGUAGGGAAUCUUCCACAAUGGACGCAAGUCUGAUGGAGCAACGCCGCGUGAGUGAAGAAGGGUUUCGGCUCGUAAAGCUCUGUUGGUAGUGAAGAAAGAUAGAGGUAGUAACUGGCCUUUAUUUGACGGUAAUUACUUAGAAAGUCACGGCUAACUACGUGCCAGCAGCCGCGGUAAUACGUAGGUGGCAAGCGUUGUCCGGAUUUAUUGGGCGUAAAGCGAGUGCAGGCGGUUCAAUAAGUCUGAUGUGAAAGCCUUCGGCUCAACCGGAGAAUUGCAUCAGAAACUGUUGAACUUGAGUGCAGAAGAGGAGAGUGGAACUCCAUGUGUAGCGGUGGAAUGCGUAGAUAUAUGGAAGAACACCAGUGGCGAAGGCGG